GUUGAUUUAGUUUAUAAAAAAUGUUGUUUUGUGGAGGCAAAGAAAAUAGAAAUUAAUCAAUU
This 62-nucleotide transfer RNA is filed under the name Meretrix lusoria. RNAcentral describes it as "tRNA-His". Lineage: Eukaryota; Metazoa; Mollusca; Bivalvia; Venerida; Veneridae. The record is from RNAcentral.